GGCGUGCUAUACAUGCAAGUCGAACGCACAGCGAAAGGUGCUUGCACCUUUCAAGUGAGUGGCGAACGGGUGAGUAACACGUGGAUAACCUACCUCAAGGUUGGGGAUAACAUUUGGAAACAGAUGCUAAUACCGAAUAAAACUUCGUAUCGCAUGAUACAAGGUUAAAAGGCGCUACGGCGUCACCUAGAGAUGGAUCCGCGGUGCAUUAGUUAGUUGGUGGGGUAAAGGCCUACCAAGACAAUGAUGCAUAGCCGAGUUGAGAGACUGAUCGGCCACAUUGGGACUGAGACACGGCCCAAACUCCUACGGGAGGCUGCAGUAGGGAAUCUUCCACAAUGGGCGAAAGCCUGAUGGAGCAACGCCGCGUGUGUGAUGAAGGCUUUCGGGUCGUAAAGCACUGUUGUAUGGGAAGAACAGCUAGAGUAGGGAAUGACUUUAGUUUGACGGCACCAUACCAGAAAGGGACGGCUAAAUACGUGCCAGCAGCCGCGGUAAUACGUAUGUCCCGAGCGUUAUCCGGAUUUAUUGGGCGUAAAGCGAGCGCAGACGGUUGAUUAAGUCUGAUGUGAAAGCCCGGAGCUCAACUCCGGAAAGGCAUUGGAAACUGGUCAACUUGAGUGCAGUACAGGUAAGUGGAACUCCAUGUGUAGCGGUGGAAUGCGUACAUAUAUGGAAGAACACCAGCGGCGAAUGCGGCUUACUGGACUGUAACUGACGUUGAGGCUCGAAAGUGUG
RNAcentral lists this ribosomal RNA (738 nucleotides) under uncultured bacterium. RNAcentral's name for it is "bacterial SSU rRNA". It matches the Rfam family "Bacterial small subunit ribosomal RNA", at positions 41 to 763 of the family's 1533-position model. The record is from RNAcentral.